Molecule: ribosomal RNA, 497 nt
Filed under: uncultured bacterium
Lineage: Bacteria
Description: partial 16S ribosomal RNA
Rfam family: Bacterial small subunit ribosomal RNA
Source: RNAcentral
GAUGAACGCUGGCGGCGUGCCUAAUACAUGCAAGUCGAGCGAACAGACGAGGCGCUUGCUCCUCUGACGUUAGCGGCGGACGGGUGAGUCACACGUGGAUAACCUACCUAUAAUACUGGGAUAACUUCGGGAAACCGGAGCUAAUACCGUAUAAUAUCUUGAACCGCGUGGUUCAAUAGUGAAAUACGGCUUUGGUGUCACUUCUCGCUGGUUCCGGGCCGCAUUGGCUGGUUGGUGCGGUAACAGCUUACCAAGGCGACCAUGCGUGGCCGACCGGAGAGGGUGAUCGCCGACACGGGAACUGAGACACGGUCCAGACUCCUACGGGAGGCAGCAGUAGGGAAUGUUCCGCAAUGGGCGAAAGCCUGACGGAGCAACGCCGCGUGAGUGAUGAAGGUCUUCGGAUCGUAAAACUCUGUUAUUAGUGAAGAACAAAUGUGUAAGUAAAUAUGCACGUAUUGACGGUAACUAAUCAGAAAGCCACGGCUAACUACGUG